AUGGCCGCGUCAUCGUCGUUCCCAUGGCCGGAGCCGUCCCCGACCCGUGAGGUUAUGCUCUGCAGCUCCGUUGGCCUCGUCUGCAUCGCCUACAACCUUCGGUUCGAGCUGAAGCCCUCCACAACCUCGCCAUCUGGUCGUCUUCCCCGCCACGGCCACGGCGCCAUCGCCGUCGAUCUCCAUCACCGGCGCCUCGCCUCCCGGCGGUUCCAGAUGCUGGAGUCCAGGAGCCAGGAGCCAGCGUCGACGACGACUACUACAUUGGAGGUGCCUACUACUACGUGCAGGCUGACGACGACGACCAGGAGUAGUUACGAGGAUCCCAGGCAGGAGGCCUGCGCCUCUUUCGAUCUGUAUCCCAGUUUGUGCUAG
RNAcentral lists this ribosomal RNA (372 nucleotides) under Triticum aestivum (bread wheat). RNAcentral's name for it is "partial small subunit ribosomal RNA". Lineage: Eukaryota; Viridiplantae; Streptophyta; Magnoliopsida; Poales; Poaceae. The record is from RNAcentral.